GACGAACGCUGGCGGCGUGCUUAACACAUGCAAGUCGAGCGGUAAGGCCCUUUCGGGGGUACACGAGCGGCGAACGGGUGAGUAACACGUGGGUGACCUGCCCUCAGCUCUGGGAUAAGCCCGGGAAACUGGGUCUAAUACCGGAUAUGACUCCAUGACGCAUGUUGUGGGGUGGAAAGCCUUGUGCGGCUGAGGAUGGGCCCGCGGCCUAUCAGCUUGUUGGUGGGGUGAUGGCCACCAAGGCGACGACGGGUAGCCGGCCUGAGAGGGCG
RNAcentral lists this ribosomal RNA (272 nucleotides) under uncultured bacterium. RNAcentral's name for it is "partial 16S ribosomal RNA". It matches the Rfam family "Bacterial small subunit ribosomal RNA", at positions 28 to 302 of the family's 1533-position model. The record is from RNAcentral.